This 45-nucleotide non-coding RNA is filed under the name Schistosoma curassoni. Lineage: Eukaryota; Metazoa; Platyhelminthes; Trematoda; Strigeidida; Schistosomatidae. The record is from RNAcentral.
AUCCAGCUGACGAGUUUCGAAUAGGACGGAACGGGCGUCCUGGAU